RNAcentral lists this ribosomal RNA (740 nucleotides) under Glutamicibacter arilaitensis. Its description in RNAcentral is "bacterial SSU rRNA". It matches the Rfam family "Bacterial small subunit ribosomal RNA", at positions 75 to 828 of the family's 1533-position model. Lineage: Bacteria; Bacillati; Actinomycetota; Actinomycetes; Micrococcales; Micrococcaceae. The record is from RNAcentral.
CCAGCUUGCUGGGUGGAUUAGUGGCGAACGGGUGAGUAACACGUGAGUAACCUGCCCCCGACUCUGGGAUAAGCCCGGGAAACUGGGUCUAAUACCGGAUAUUACCUCUUGCCGCAUGGCAGGUGGUGGAAAGAUUUAUCGGUGGGGGAUGGACUCGCGGCCUAUCAGCUUGUUGGUGAGGUAAUGGCUCACCAAGGCGACGACGGGUAGCCGGCCUGAGAGGGUGACCGGCCACACUGGGACUGAGACACGGCCCAGACUCCUACGGGAGGCAGCAGUGGGGAAUAUUGCACAAUGGGCGAAAGCCUGAUGCAGCGACGCCGCGUGAGGGAUGACGGCCUUCGGGUUGUAAACCUCUUUCAGUAGGGAAGAAGCGAAAGUGACGGUACCUGCAGAAGAAGCGCCGGCUAACUACGUGCCAGCAGCCGCGGUAAUACGUAGGGCGCAAGCGUUAUCCGGAUUUAUUGGGCGUAAAGAGCUCGUAGGCGGUUUGUCGCGUCUGCCGUGAAAGUCCGAGGCUCAACCUCGGAUCUGCGGUGGGUACGGGCAGACUAGAGUGAUGUAGGGGAGACUGGAAUUCCUGGUGUAGCGGUGAAAUGCGCAGAUAUCAGGAGGAACACCGAUGGCGAAGGCAGGUCUCUGGGCAUUUACUGACGCUGAGGAGCGAAAGCAUGGGGAGCGAACAGGAUUAGAUACCCUGGUAGUCCAUGCCGUAAACGUUGGGGCACUAGGUGUGGGGG